RNAcentral lists this ribosomal RNA (495 nucleotides) under uncultured bacterium. RNAcentral's name for it is "partial 16S ribosomal RNA". It matches the Rfam family "Bacterial small subunit ribosomal RNA", at positions 28 to 505 of the family's 1533-position model. The record is from RNAcentral.
GAUGAACGCUGGCGGCGUGCCUAAUACAUGCAAGUCGAGCGAACGGACGAGAAGCUUGCUUCUCUGAUGUUAGCGGCGGACGGGUGAGUAACACGUGGAUAACCUACCUAUAAGACUGGGAUAACUUCGGGAAACCGGAGCUAAUACCGGAUAAUAUUUUGAACCGCAUGGUUCAAAAGUGAAAGACGGUCUUGCUGUCACUUAUAGAUGGAUCCGCGCUGCAUUAGCUAGUUGGUAAGGUAACGGCUUACCAAGGCAACGAUGCAUAGCCGACCUGAGAGGGCGAUCGGCCACACUGAAACUGAGACACGGUCCAGACUCCUACGGGAGGCAGCAGUAGGGAAUCUUCCGCAAUGGGCGAAAGCCUGACGGAGCAACGCCGCGUGAGUGAUGAAGGUCUUCGGAUCGUAAAACUCUGUUAUUAGGGAAGAACAUAUGUGUAAGUAACUGUGCACAUCUUGACGGUACCUAAUCAGAAAGCCACGGCUAACUACG